AGAGUUUGAUCCUGGCUCAGAUUGAACGCUGGCGGCAUGCUUUACACAUGCAAGUCGGACGGCAGCACAGGGAAGCUUGCUUCUCGGGUGGCGAGUGGCGAACGGGUGAGUAACAUAUCGGAACGUACCGGGUAGCGGGGGAUAACUGAUCGAAAGAUCAGCUAAUACCGCAUACGUCUUGAGAGGGAAAGCAGGGGACCUUCGGGCCUUGCGCUAUCCGAGCGGCCGAUAUCUGAUUAGCUGGUUGGCGGGGUAAAGGCCCACCAAGGCGACGAUCAGUAGCGGGUCUGAGAGGAUGAUCCGCCACACUGGGACUGAGACACGGCCCAGACUCCUACGGGAGGCAGCAGUGGGGAAUUUUGGACAAUGGGCGCAAGCCUGAUCCAGCCAUGCCGCGUGUCUGAAGAAGGCCUUCGGGUUGUAAAGGACUUUUGUCAGGGAAGAAAAGGCCGUUGCCAAUAUCGGCGGCCGAUGACGGUACCUGAAGAAUAAGCACCGGCUAACUACGUGCCAGCAGCCGCGGUAAUACGUAGGGUGCCAGCGUUAAUCGGAAUUACUGGGCGUAAAGCGGGCGCAGACGGUUACUUAAGCAGGAUGUGAAAUCCCCGGGCUCAACCCGGGAACUGCGUUCUGAACUGGGUGACUCGAGUGUGUCAGAGGGAGGUGGAAUUCCACGUGUAGCAGUGAAAUGCGUAGAGAUGUGGAGGAAUACCGAUGGCGAAGGCAGCCUCCUGGGAUAACACUGACGUUCAUGUCCGAAAGCGUGGGUAGCAAACAGGAUUAGAUACCCUGGUAGUCCACGCCCUAAACGAUGUCAAUUAGCUGUUGGGCAACUUGAUUGCUUGGUAGCGUAGCUAACGCGUGAAAUUGACCGCCUGGGGAGUACGGUCGCAAGAUUAAAACUCAAAGGAAUUGACGGGGACCCGCACAAGCGGUGGAUGAUGUGGAUUAAUUCGAUGCAACGCGAAGAACCUUACCUGGUUUUGACAUGUGCGGAAUCCUCCGGAGACGGAGGAGUGCCUUCGGGAGCCGUAACACAGGUGCUGCAUGGCUGUCGUCAGCUCGUGUCGUGAGAUGUUGGGUUAAGUCCCGCAACGAGCGCAACCCUUGUCAUUAGUUGCCAUCAUUCGGUUGGGCACUCUAAUGAGACUGCCGGUGACAAGCCGGAGGAAGGUGGGGAUGACGUCAAGUCCUCAUGGCCCUUAUGACCAGGGCUUCACACGUCAUACAAUGGUCGGUACAGAGGGUAGCCAAGCCGCGAGGCGGAGCCAAUCUCACAAAACCGAUCGUAGUCCGGAUUGCACUCUGCAACUCGAGUGCAUGAAGUCGGAAUCGCUAGUAAUCGCAGGUCAGCAUACUGCGGUGAAUACGUUCCCGGGUCUUGUACACACCGCCCGUCACACCAUGGGAGUGGGGGAUACCAGAAGUAGGUAGGGUAACCGCAAGGAGUCCGCUUACCACGGUAUGCUUCAUGACUGGGGUGAAGUCGUAACAAGGUAGCCGUAGGGGAACCUGCGGCUGGAUCACCU
RNAcentral lists this ribosomal RNA (1529 nucleotides) under Neisseria gonorrhoeae. Its description in RNAcentral is "bacterial SSU rRNA". It matches the Rfam family "Bacterial small subunit ribosomal RNA". The record is from RNAcentral. Lineage: Bacteria; Pseudomonadati; Pseudomonadota; Betaproteobacteria; Neisseriales; Neisseriaceae.